UGGGGAAUAUUGGACAAUGGGCGAAAGCCUGAUCCAGCCAUGCCGCGUGUGUGAAGAAGGCCUUUUGGUUGUAAAGCACUUUAAGUGGGGAGGAAAAGCUUAUGGUUAAUACCCAUAAGCCCUGACGUUACCCACAGAAUAAGCACCGGCUAACUCUGUGCCAGCAGCCGCGGUAAUACAGAGGGUGCAAGCGUUAAUCGGAAUUACUGGGCGUAAAGCGCGCGUAGGUGGUUAUUUAAGUCAGAUGUGAAAGCCCCGGGCUUAACCUGGGAACUGCAUCUGAUACUGGAUAACUAGAGUAGGUGAGAGGGGAGUAGAAUUCCAGGUGUAGCGGUGAAAUGCGUAGAGAUCUGGAGGAAUACCGAUGGCGAAGGCAGCUCCCUGGCAUCAUACUGACACUGAGGUGCGAAAGCGUGGGUAGCAAACAGGAUUAGAUACCCUGGUAGUCCACGCCGUAAACGAUGUCUACCAGUCGUUGGGCCUUUUAAAGACUUAGUGACGCAGUUAACGCAAUAAGUAGACCGCCUGGGGAGUACGGCCGCAAGGUUA
This 549-nucleotide ribosomal RNA is filed under the name uncultured bacterium. RNAcentral's name for it is "bacterial SSU rRNA". It matches the Rfam family "Bacterial small subunit ribosomal RNA", at positions 355 to 896 of the family's 1533-position model. The record is from RNAcentral.